This 497-nucleotide ribosomal RNA is filed under the name uncultured bacterium. RNAcentral describes it as "partial 16S ribosomal RNA". It matches the Rfam family "Bacterial small subunit ribosomal RNA", at positions 28 to 507 of the family's 1533-position model. The record is from RNAcentral.
GAUGAACGCUGGCGGCGUGCCUAACACAUGCAAGUCGAACGGAAAGACGCUGAGCUUGUGCGGUUCUCGAUAGCGGAAGGCGGGAGUGUAACGCGUGUAUCCUGCACUUGUAUUUCGGGGAACAUCACGAAAAGGGGGCUAAGAUAGCAUAGAAUAUCCUGCACCGCGGGGGGCAAUGGAGAGUGUCGGCUUUGGGGGAUGUACUCGCUGCUUACGGGCUGGAUUAGCUGGUUGGGAGGGUCACGGCCUACCAAGGCUACGAGGCGUGGCCGAGCGGAGAGGGUGAUCGGCCACAUUGGAAGGGAGACACGGUCCAGACUCCUACGGGAGGCAGCAGUGGGGAACGUUAGGCAAUGGGCGGAAGCCUGACGCAGCAAGGCCGCGUGUGUGACGACGGCCUUCGGAUCGUAAAGCCCUCUUUUUGGGUAAGAACCGCUGUCGCCUUAGACGUAGCGGUAGUGACGGUACCGAAUCAGAAAGCACCGGCUAACUACGUG